AAGGCUUUAAGUUAAAAAAACUAAUAGCCUUCAAAGCUAUAAAUAAAAUAUGAAUUUUUAAGCCUUA
This 67-nucleotide transfer RNA is filed under the name Rhaphidophora quadrispina. RNAcentral's name for it is "tRNA-Trp". The record is from RNAcentral. Lineage: Eukaryota; Metazoa; Arthropoda; Insecta; Orthoptera; Rhaphidophoridae.